This is a long non-coding RNA of Arachis ipaensis, 1049 nucleotides long. RefSeq lists it as uncharacterized. NCBI's taxonomy places the organism in Eukaryota, Viridiplantae, Streptophyta, Magnoliopsida, Fabales, Fabaceae. The record is from RefSeq and is a predicted model, not a curated record.
ACCUACACACACGUACCCCUCUAAUCUGUCAACUCCUUGGUGAGCCACACUCACCCUCCCUCAUGACUCACUCACCACCGCCAUUUUUCUUUCCCUUUACCCCACACCCACACACAUGAACAGAGACAGAUUAAGAGAAAGAAAGGGAGAAAGGGAAAAGGAAAAACAGAAGCAAAGAGAGAUCCGAGAGUGAGAGCUGGCGAUGGGAGGCAGAGGAGAGGCGAGGGGCUGUCCCGCGCCGGCGUUGCGCCUCACCGUCCGUGAAGCCACGCGUCUUCGUCUCCCCACCACCGAAUCAUCGCGCCACCGUCACCGUCGGGCUGCUGUGCCACCAUUGACAAUGGUUCAGGGAGAAAGGAAGCGCUGCGAUGAGGAACAGAACAGGAGCCCGUCGUGUUCGCUGCAAUCCCGUCAUCCGUGCCUUGCCGCCGCGCUGGAGUCGUCGCCGCCAACGCCAAGCCGCCAUCAGUCCCUCGUUGAUGAGGAAAGCGCGAACCAGAGAACGGAAGGGAAGCUUUGCCGCCGUUGAGCCACAUCGCCGCUGUUGGAGGAGCCAUCACCGCCAAACCCUAGCCAUCACUACCGCUACUACCAGCAAGAAGAAGGGGCUAGAGCCGCUGCUGCCCUAUCCGCGUUCCAAUUAGGUUCAACAUCAAUUGCUCUGAGCCAUUUCUAUUUCCAAUUCCAUUGGAUUCCAAUUUUCCGUAUCUACAAACCUGAUCACUGUUGUGGGAGCUAAUGUUGUGGCUGUUCCUCCGGUUGUGAUGGGGUGCAAUGCCGCUGUUAUCUUGACUAAAAUUGUUGCGUGGCUAGUAAUGGUCCAGUCAGCUGUCUCACCGUAAUUCCGCUUCCGAUUUCUUUUAAUAGUGACACUGAGGUAGGGGAUUUGUUUUAAAAAAUAAAUGUUUUAAGUUAUGAAUGCCAAUAAAAUUAAAUGAGUAACUGCAAAUGAUUUAUGGUUGCUUUGUGUGAAUAAUUGUUGGAAUUGAGUUGAAUCAUGGUUAUAGUUGGUGAUUGGUUUAAUGAUUUAAUGUAGUAAUUAUUGACGA